RNAcentral lists this transfer RNA (21 nucleotides) under Aspidoscelis gularis. Its description in RNAcentral is "partial tRNA-Met". The record is from RNAcentral. Lineage: Eukaryota; Metazoa; Chordata; Lepidosauria; Squamata; Teiidae.
GGAUACACCCAACCUCUGCUA